RNAcentral lists this long non-coding RNA (530 nucleotides) under Salmo salar (Atlantic salmon). RNAcentral's name for it is "lncRNA (ENSSSAG00000101419.1)". The record is from RNAcentral. Lineage: Eukaryota; Metazoa; Chordata; Actinopteri; Salmoniformes; Salmonidae.
UAAAUCUUUUAAGGGGGGGGUUAGAAGGAUUACUUUAUCCUAUCCCAGGUGUCUCCGGAAGGUGGUGAUUGACUCCGCUGUCCUGGCGUCGUGAGGGAGCUUGUUCCACCAUUGGGGUGCCAGAGCAGCGAACAGUUUUGACUGGGCUGAGCGGGAACUGUGCUUCCUCAGAGGUAGGGAGGCGAGCAGGCCAGAGGUGGAUGAACGGAGUGCCCUUGUUUGGGUGUAGGGCCUGAUCAGAGCCUGAAGGUACGGAGGUGCCGUUCCCCUCACAGCUCCGUAGGCAAGCACCAUGGUCUUGUAGCGGAUGCGAGCAGGCCAGAGGUGGAUGAACGGAGUGCCCUUGUUUGGGUGUAGGGCCUGAUCAGAGCCUGAAGGUACGGAGGUGCCGUUCCCCUCACAGCUCCGUAGGCAAGCACCAUGGUCUUGUAGCGGAAGCCUUAGUUACAAGGGGAUGGGGGGUGUUUCACAAAGCAAUCAAGAAGCAACUCAGUUUGUAAAGCAACGAAAUUUGAGUGAAAAUUCCUUCG